Molecule: ribosomal RNA, 506 nt
Filed under: uncultured bacterium
Lineage: Bacteria
Description: partial 16S ribosomal RNA
Rfam family: Bacterial small subunit ribosomal RNA
Source: RNAcentral
GAUGAACGCUAGCUACAGGCUUAACACAUGCAAGUCGAGGGGUAACGAGAGGGAAGCUUGCUUUCCUUGUCGACGACCGGCGCACGGGUGAGUAGCGCGUAUCCAACCUGCCCCCAACUAGGGAAUAACCUUGCGAAAGUAAGACUAAUACCCUAUAAUUUCCUCAGAUGUCAUCUGACGAGGAAUAAAGAUUUAUCGGUUGUGGAUGGGGAUGCGUCUGAUUAGCUUGUUGGCGGGGUAACGGCCCACCAAGGCAAGGAUCAGUAGGGGUUCUGAGAGGAAGGUCCCCCACAUUGGAACUGAGACACGGUCCAAACUCCUACGGGAGGCAGCAGUGAGGAAUAUUGGUCAAUGGGCGGAAGCCUGAACCAGCCAAGUAGCGUGCAGGAUGACGGCCCUAUGUGUUGUAAACUGCUUUUAUACAGGAAUAAAGUUAGCCACGUGUGGUUAUUUGUAGGUACUGUAUGAAUAAGGACCGGCUAAUUCCGUGCCAGCCGCCGCCGUAA